RNAcentral lists this ribosomal RNA (253 nucleotides) under uncultured bacterium. RNAcentral describes it as "partial 16S ribosomal RNA". It matches the Rfam family "Bacterial small subunit ribosomal RNA", at positions 524 to 776 of the family's 1533-position model. The record is from RNAcentral.
GACGUAGGGUGCGAGCGUUGUCCGGAUUUAUUGUGCGUAAAGAGCUCGUAGGCGGCUCGUCGCGUCGACCGUGAAAACCCGCGGCUUAACUGCGGGCUUGCGGUUGAUACGGGCGGGCUAGAGUUCGGUAGGGGAGACUGGAAUUCCUGGUGUAGCGGUGAAAUGCGCAGAUAUCAGGAGGAACACCGGUGGCGAAGGCGGGUCUCUGGGCCGAUACUGACGCUGAGGAGCGAAAGCGUGGGGAGCGAACAGG